This 497-nucleotide ribosomal RNA is filed under the name uncultured bacterium. Its description in RNAcentral is "partial 16S ribosomal RNA". It matches the Rfam family "Bacterial small subunit ribosomal RNA", at positions 28 to 507 of the family's 1533-position model. The record is from RNAcentral.
GAUGAACGCUGGCGGCGUGCCUAAUACAUGCAAGUCGAGCGAACGGACGAGAAGCUUGCUUCGCUGUUGUUAGCGGCGGACGGGUGAGUAACACGUGGAUACCCUACCUAUAAGACUGGUAUAACUUCGGGAAACCGGAGCUAAUACCGGAUAAUAUUUUGAACCGCAUGGUUCAAAAGUGAAAGUCGGUGUUGCUGUCCCUUCUAGCUGGAUCCGCGCUGCAUUGGCUGGUUGGUAAGGUAACGGCUUACCACGGCAACGAGGCCUAGCCGACCGGAGAGGCUGAUAGGCCACAUGGGAACGUAGCCAGGGUCCAGACUCCUACGGGAGGCAGCAGUAGGCAAUCUUCCGCAAUAGGCGAAAGCCUGACGGAGCAACGCGGCGUGAGUGAUGAAGGUCUUCGGAGCGUAAAGAUGUGUUAUUAGGGAAGAACAUAUGUGGAAGUAACCGUGCACAGCGUGACGGUACCUAGUCAGAAAGCCACGGCUAACUACGUG